RNAcentral lists this unclassified non-coding RNA (1319 nucleotides) under Hevea brasiliensis (rubber tree). The record is from RNAcentral. Lineage: Eukaryota; Viridiplantae; Streptophyta; Magnoliopsida; Malpighiales; Euphorbiaceae.
AUUUUACUGUGAAUCUUGAGCAGGUUUGCAGAGUUACUAUUUCUUCUCAUUCAAGAAUGAACAGUAAACAAGAGUACUUAGGAAGCUACAAAGUCAACAAAGUCUGAUUAUAGCUCAUCUAAGCAAGUGAAAAAACAAGUAAUGGUACUCUGCAAUCAGCUUUAACUCAUUAUUCUGCAACCAUCCCAGCUUACUGAAACUACAACAUAAACUCAGCUCAUUCAUCAAGUUUUAACGCUUCUGAAGUACAUAGCAGACCCAGACUUCAAUAGCAUCUAAACAAAAAAGGAAUGUUGUCCACCAGAAAAUAGCCCAAGUUGGUGAGGCUCAACUCUAUCAUAUAGAACCAUGCUCUACGCCAAUAUGGAUUUACGUACAAAACAGCAGCUAUGGUCAACAAAACUAUGGCAUAAGAAGUCAGAAAACUCACAUAGAAAGCUUCCAUGUCCAUAAAGCCACCAUCUUUUUUAUGAUCUUUUUUAUCCUCCUCUGAAACUCUUGGCAUUAAUGUUGAAGAAAAGCAACUUUUAGACAGUGGAGGUCCACAAAGGAAAGGGUUUCCCUCAUAGCUACUAUUCUCGAAGGUCGCAAAUUGUGCAACCAUCUCAGGUGUCUUGCCAGAUAAGUUGUUGUGUGCUACACUGAAAACAGCUAGAAAAUUUAGUUGAGUGAGCUGAGGGAUGCUGCCAUUCAAGUUGUUGUAGGAAAGAUCCAAGCUCUCAAUUUGCGUUAGGUUUGAAAAUGAUUGUGGAAUCAAUCCCGUCAACUUGUUAUGGGACAGGUUUAACAGCUGGAUUUUGUCAAGAUUUCCUAUUUCAACAGGAAUUUCACCUGUCAAAUUGUUGCAGGACAGAUCGAGCCCUGAUAUGUACUUGAGAAUGCUUCCUUGGAAGUAAUACGAUAUACUCUUUGUUGUAAACUCCAAAGGUUGUUUCAUGUAAGUUCCUGGAUAUCCAUAUGAAGCAACUUUUGUUUGCCAAUUGCUAGCGGCACUUAUGCAAGGGAGGAUAUGACCAGAAAGAUUAUUAUUAGAGAGAUCAACCAAGCUUAAUUGGCGUAAGUUGCACAACUGAAUUGGUAUUUCACCUUCAAGAUUAUUAUGACUGAAAAGAAGAUAGUUCAGUUUGGGAAAAUUGCCAAUCCAUUCUGGAACCCUUCCAGUGAAAGAGUUGUGACUAAGAUCCAAUAUUGUUAAUUCAAAACAAUUGUAAAAUGCAUUCAUAAGCGGUCCUUGUAGCCUAUUUUUUGAUAGAUAAACUUCACUAAUAAAUGGAGGGCCAAAGCUAGAUGGUAUAUUUCCAAAGAAAUUGUUCUCUGAC